CAGGAAGCAGCCCUCACCAGACCCUGGAGCUGCCAUGCAGUGACCUCGGACUUCCAGCCUCCAGGACUGCGAGAGACACAUUCCGGACCCUGUCUACAGACCACGUGUGCUUGGGGGUCUCACAGCCUGGCAUCCUGGGAGCUGAGAGCCCCUGAAGCCUCAGCAGCUGGACCUGGGCUGGAGCAAGAUUUCCGAGGUCCAGGUGAGGAGCACUCCUGAGCCUGUCUCCAGCCUCCUUCUCACGUUCUAUGUGAACUCCGGGGCUCUGCUGGCUGAAAGCAAGCUCUGUUUCUCGGCAGCCCUGUGGCUUUUGGACUUAACAGACUUGAAAUUAGUUCAUGGCGACCCAGACGCACACCACAACUCAGAAACCACACGGGAGCCGUGUCGGCAAGGGCAGCCGCACUGUGGAGCAGCCAGACUGAAAUUUAUAGCAGGAGCCUGGGCCUGGUCGGGCCCCAUGAGAGCGUGCAACUUGAAUCGCUGCUUAGUCACCCCUGGCUUGGCAAGGUCGCGGAUCAGGAACGCAUCAAAGGUCAGACGGCAGGACUGCGUCUAGACGUCUGUUUCAGAGUCUGCGCUCGCUC
Sciurus carolinensis (gray squirrel) is the source of this 587-nucleotide long non-coding RNA. RefSeq lists it as uncharacterized. Lineage: Eukaryota; Metazoa; Chordata; Mammalia; Rodentia; Sciuridae. The record is from RefSeq and is a predicted model, not a curated record. The transcript is spliced from 3 exons.